Molecule: ribosomal RNA, 530 nt
Filed under: Pichia ethanolica
Lineage: Eukaryota; Fungi; Ascomycota; Pichiomycetes; Pichiales; Pichiaceae
Description: [Candida] ethanolica partial large subunit ribosomal RNA
Rfam family: Eukaryotic large subunit ribosomal RNA
Source: RNAcentral
GCGGCAAGAGCUCAGAUUUGAAAUCGUGUUUCGGCACGAGUUGUAGAGUGUAGGCGGGAGUCUCUGUGGAGCGCGGUGUCCAAGUCCCUUGGAACAGGGUGCCUGAGAGGGUGAGAGCCCCGUGGGGUGCUGCGCGAAGCUUUGAGGCCCUGCUGACGAGUCGAGUUGUUUGGGAAUGCAGCUCUAAGCGGGUGGUAAAUUCCAUCUAAGGCUAAAUACUGGCGAGAGACCGAUAGCGAACAAGUACUGUGAAGGAAAGAUGAAAAGCACUUUGAAAAGAGAGUGAAACAGCACGUGAAAUUGUUGAAAGGGAAGGGUAUUGGGCCCGACAUGGGGAGUGCGCACCGCUGUCUCUUGUAGGCGGCGCUCUGGGCGCUCUCUGGGCCAGCAUCGGUUCUUGCUGCGAGAGAAGUGGCGCCGGAAAGUGGCUCUUCGGAGUGUUAUAGCCGGUGCCGGAUGUCGCGUGCGGGGACCGAGGGCUGCGACAUCUGUCUCGGAUGCUGGCACAACGGCGCAAUACCGCCCGUCUU